Molecule: ribosomal RNA, 484 nt
Filed under: uncultured bacterium
Lineage: Bacteria
Description: partial 16S ribosomal RNA
Rfam family: Bacterial small subunit ribosomal RNA
Source: RNAcentral
AUUGAACGCUGGCGGCAGGCCUAACACAUGCAAGUCGAGCGGAUGAAGGGAGCUUGCUCCUGGAUUCAGCGGCGGACGGGUGAGUAAUGCCUAGGAAUCUGCCUGGUAGUGGGGGAUAACGUCCGGAAACGGGCGCUAAUACCGCAUACGUCCUGAGGGAGAAAGUGGGGGAUCUUCGGACCUCACGCUAUCAGAUGAGCCUAGGUCGGAUUAGCUAGUUGGUGGGGUAAAGGCCUACCAAGGCGACGAUCCGUAACUGGUCUGAGAGGAUGAUCAGUCACACUGGAACUGAGACACGGUCCAGACUCCUACGGGAGGCAGCAGUGGGGAAUAUUGGACAAUGGGCGAAAGCCUGAUCCAGCCAUGCCGCGUGUGUGAAGAAGGUCUUCGGAUUGUAAAGCACUUUAAGUAGGGAAGAAGGGAAGUAAGUGAAUACCUUGAUGUUUUGACGUUACCAACAGAAUAAGCACCGGCUAACUUCGUG